CAGUUUUCUUUGCUUACGUCGACAGUAGUAAGAUUGAGAUCGGAGAGAUCCUCGUCGGCGACGAAACACACACACUCACACACUAACGAAUGUGCUGACACAUAAUAUUCUGUUUUCUUUUCUUUUUUUGUUUGCUUCUCUUACUGAAUACUUCCCGCUUAAAAGGUGGCGAUUCCUUCUCCAGCCCCUCGUCCUCCUUUUACUCUUUCCUCCUCCCCCUUUUUUUUCUUCCUUCUCGUUCUUUGUCUACGUACUUUAACACCAUAUUUAUUCCCUUUUGUUUAACAAUUUUUUUUGAGGUAGAAAAAAGCCAGUUCUACUUAACUUUAAUUAAUAGUGAAACUUAAAUUUAGUCAUUUUUAAGUCUCUCAAUUACAAGUACACUAAAAUACACUCACUAGUGCGACUGAGUGUUAAUCCAGUUGAAUUGUUGCAAUCUGGCUUUUGCCGGCCAUCGGAGGAGGAGGAAGAGGAGGAGCUUCUUCGGUUUUCCAGCUGAAAAAAGUUAAAAAGGGGAGAAGGGAUUCACUGACACGGUGGUGCAGAACUAGUCACGUGUGGAUCGCGCGUUUUCUUGCUCGACCAAUUCCAUUCUUCUUCCUUUUUUUUAAAGUUUGUUAUGAGAUUCUUUAAAAGUAAUAGUUGCCUAUGAGGGCAUCUAAACCAUGGUGGUGGCUGCUGAAAAAAAGGCUCGCUAUAUUUGAUGGGGUUGGUUCUAUGAUCCAUACACUUCUGUUCAAUUCACCAUAAGCUGGGGAACAUGUGGAGCAAAGAUGAAACCACUGCCAUUUAUGGUAGUUAUCUGUACAUUAAUGUUGUUCGUGGUGUAUAGGACCACCAAUUAUCAGUACCGACAAACAGAGAUGGAGUCAAGAUUAAGGCCUUUUUUUAUGCUAAAGGAUUCUGGUAUACCUACUACGAGUUUGAAUGCAUUACCUCGUGGCAUCAUUGAGGCCAGAUCGGAUCUAGAGUUAAAGCCUCUAUGGUCAAGCGAUAGUUCAAGAAAAGAGCUCAAUACUCCCAGUUCUCAGUGCUUAUUGGCUAUUCCAGUUGGUAUUAAGCAGAAGCACAAUGUUGAUAGAAUCGUACAAAAGUUUCUUCCAGAGAAUUUUACAAUUGUUCUUUUCCACUAUGAUGGCAAUGUGGAUGGUUGGUGGAACCUUGAAUGGAGUAAGAAGGCAAUACAUAUGGUUGCCUUCAACCAAACCAAAUGGUGGUUUGCAAAGCGCUUCUUACACCCAGCUGUUGUAUCUGCUUAUGAUUACAUAUUCUUGUGGGAUGAAGAUCUUGGGGUGGAGCAUUUCUGCCCAAGAAGAUACUUGGAGAUUGUAAAGGCAGAAGGACUGGAAAUAUCUCAGCCAGCUUUAGACCCUAAUUCUACUGGUAUACAUCAUAGAAUUACAAUACGACAGAGAUCAAAGAAGUUUCACCAAAGAGUCUAUGAAACCAGAGGCAGUACGAAAUGUUCGGAUGCAAGUGAUGGGCCACCAUGUGCUGGGUUCGUGGAAGGAAUGGCUCCUGUCUUUUCAAGAGCUGCGUGGCAUUGUUCCUGGCACCUAAUACAGAGUGAUCUUGUUCAUGGAUGGGGAAUGGACAUGAAACUGGGAUAUUGUGCGCAGGGUGACCGCACGAAAAAUGUGGGAGUGGUUGAUAGUGAAUAUAUAGUUCAUCAGAGUAUACAGACAUUGGGAGGGAAAUCUGCCAAAAAGGUGAUCUACCUAUUCACUUCCUUCUCUUUUCUUUUAAUGUACGAGGUUGUUAUUUCAUGGCAUGGCUACACAUAUGCGACCAUUUUACAUGCUACAGCUCACAUCAAUACUAAGUCACUAACUUUUCUAAUUCUGUUUAGGGGGCGGAAGUUUUGGUCCUUGAUAAGCUACUUCAUUAUUGAUAUUUCACUUCUUAGAUGUUUAAAUUGCAGCUAAUGAAAAGCUUUAAGUUUUCUGUCUUUUUAUUUUUCCUUAAAAUGUUUAAAAUGUUUUUGUUGGAUUCUGGUAAUUUGGGUUAUAUGCCUUUAACAUUUUGGUUUUGAAUCGCAAUUAAAGAAAUAUUUCCUUUUUUUAAUCUAUGCAAAAAUCACCUUAGAGGCUAUCUUGGAGAACCCGGCCUCAACUUCUGUUAAAAUUCAGCCUUGUUUAAAAACAGAGAAGUGGAUUUUGACCUUAAAAGUUUUAUGAAACAAGAUAGACUGCAAUAUCCCUGUGGCGAGAAGAAGAAGAAGAGGGGCACAUUGUUUUCCGGAUUCCUGAUCUUUGAUGCUUGGUACUCGUUCCACUGCAAAAUCCUCUCUGAAUGAAUAAUAUAUAGAUACUAUGUGGCCAUUUAAACUUUAAAAUCACUUCAGAAUUUUACAAAGACAAAGUCUUCGCUUGAUGUUUCUGGGUCUAGCAUGACCUCCAUUAUUUCCAGGUUCUUUUCUUACCUUUUUGUACCAAAUCCCAAUUUCAAUGACCAUUGUUUUAUACAGCAUUAGCCAAAAAGCUGGAUCAGGGUGGUAAAACCUGCACCCAUUAGUGCAAGCAUAUGCAGUAGUUUAUCAAUCCACCUGUCUUUACAAAGAGUCUGCUGCAAUAAUGAGUAUGACAAUAGACAACGGAGGGUUUGAGGUAAUGAGACUGGCCAACUAUGGUGGAGGAAGAAGGAAUAGAAUUUGGAAGUAAGGAAUGGAGACUCCUAGAUAAGUUGAUUUCUUUAAAAUGGGCUUUGGAAAGUUGAUUUUAGAGAAAUCGAUUUCCACGUUUUAUGGAAAAUGAAUUAAAAGGACAAUAUUUUUUGACGUUCUUCUAAAAAUGAAUUCUUGGUAAAUAGCCCCUGAAGAUUUGCAUACCUGCCCUCAAUUAUAAAAUAGCCAGCCACCAUACAGAAAAACAGAUACCAUCAAAGAUCAAAUUCCACGAGGCACAAGGCUUUAAGUGUUAGCCUUAUAAUGACCUAGUGGAAUUAAACUGCCUGCAUGUUUUAGGAUAAUUCUUGUACUUAAGUUUUCACUCGAUUAUUAAGCCUUUAGUUCGCCACCAUCUAUCAUCAAAGUUGCUGGCUAUUUGACUGAUUUGCAGUUUCCUUUUUGUAUAUUGCUACUAACUUCAACAAAAGUGAAAACACUCUAGCAGUUGCUACUAACUCCAGUAAGUGAACACACUCUUAUGGUUGCUGUACAGAGGAGGUGGUUGACUGAAUAAUUGAAAUAUGCCAAAUAUAUGAAUCCAACUCCCACAUCUAUGUAGUCGUGGCCUGCAUGUGAGGGGACUCUUGUUCAAAACUUAGUUUCUCAAAGCACUGUUGGGCUGAUUAACCUACCCCCACCUAUGUAUCUUUGAUAAGACAGAUAGUUUCAGAUGGUUGAGCUAGCAGUUGAAAUAGAUAUAAUGUCAAUAUUAAGUAGCUGCUAAGGAUACGAGGGUUCCAUUAAAUAACUUCUAACGCUUACAUAAUUUUUGCUUCGUCACGUAUUAAGGAAGAGAAAUCUUCAAUUACUUGGGAAACAAAGCUAUAUAAAGCCAAUAGCUGCAAGAAGCCUUAUUUCAGAAAAACCAAGGCACUGAACCAAAAGAUUACUUUUCCUGAUCCUGAAGUUGCUUGUAUAUGCAUUGAAGAAUUUUGACAUAUUGGUAGUGCACCUAGUUUUUGCUCGCAACUCAGUGCUAGGUUUUUGGUCGGGAGGAGCUUACGAUUUCAGGUCUUGGAUCUGUGCCUGAUUUGCUUACCAUACCUCAAUUGCUGGAGGGUCAACAAAGAGGCAUGAAGUUGAUGUACGAUCUGAGGUUAGGAGGCAAUCAACAUCAGAGCUUCAGACAUUUGAAGAUCGGUGGGAGCGAGCCAUUAAAGAGGACAGAUACUGGGUGGAUCCAUAUAAAGGAAGCCAAAGAAGGCGGCGGCGAUACAGCAGAAGACGGCAUCAUAAAGCGUAGCCUUAGUUUGUCCGAUCACUCAGAUUCACACACUGUAGUUCUUAGUCUCUGCAGGCUAUAAUGAUCAUCAUCAUUAAUUCAUUGUUUCAAUAGUGCCAUUAUUUAUUUGUGCCUGUAAUUCAUUUUUUUUUUUUGUUUCCACUAAUGUUACAAAUGACUCGGGGUAUCCCUAAUCUUCCUCUCCUCACUAAUUCCCCUUCCAUGUUUAAUGCUUCAUGAAACGGCCUUUGUGUCAUGGGAUAUGUAAAAUCUGAUGCAUAUUUGAU
Non-coding RNA from Coffea arabica (coffee), 4174 nucleotides. Lineage: Eukaryota; Viridiplantae; Streptophyta; Magnoliopsida; Gentianales; Rubiaceae. The record is from RefSeq and is a predicted model, not a curated record.